CGGGGGGGGCAAGCGUUGUUCGGAAUUACUGGGCGUAAAGGGUGCGUAGGCGGCUUUCUAAGUUGGAUGUGAAAACUCUGGGCUCAACCCAGAGCCUGCAUCCAAAAACUGGAGAGCUUGGGUACUGGAGGGGAAAGCGGAAUUCCUGGUGUAGCGGUGAAAUGCGUAGAUAUCAGGAGGAACACCGGUGGCGAAGGCGGCUUUCUGGACAGUUACCGACGCUGAGGCACGAAAGCUAGGGGAGCAAACAGGAUUAGAUACCCUGGUAGUCCUAGCCCUAAACGAUGGAUACUUGCUGUGAGGGGGAUUGAAACCCUUUGUGGUCGAAGCUAACGCAUUAAGUAUCCCGCCUGGGGAGUACGGUCGCAAGGCUG
RNAcentral lists this ribosomal RNA (374 nucleotides) under uncultured organism. Its description in RNAcentral is "bacterial SSU rRNA". It matches the Rfam family "Bacterial small subunit ribosomal RNA", at positions 526 to 896 of the family's 1533-position model. The record is from RNAcentral.